Molecule: long non-coding RNA, 810 nt
Organism: Spea bombifrons (plains spadefoot toad)
Lineage: Eukaryota; Metazoa; Chordata; Amphibia; Anura; Pelobatidae
Exons: 6
Source: RefSeq, a predicted model, not a curated record
UUCGCUGGAAAGCAGCACAUUGUAUUCGGCACACGCCACAACCGCAGAGCUUCUUCUCUAUAUCUCCUUGGUCAAAAUCGCCAAGCUACUCUUUGAAAAGUACAAACGAUUUUUAUAGAUCAAGCUUUUGCGAAGACCUUAGCUUCAGCACAAAGGAAAGAUCCGUGUAUUUCACCAGACAUCACACGCUUGGCCGCGAUACCUGCUAUCAAAGUGAGAGGAUUUGCCAGAGAUCAGAAAUCUCCCCAGCUUUACCCUUGUUUAAAUUUGCACUUAUGAACAGAUUUUCUGUAAAUUCGUUGAUGGCCCAUUCAUCCAGAGCCCUCUUCUAUUCUAACACAUUAAUACAUGUCUUCCUGCUGAUAAUUUGGUUUCGGGGCUUCACUUGAAGGAUGAUGCAAGGAACUUGCACUAGAAAUGAAGACAAUAGUUACAGGUUACUGAAAUCGCAAGUAACAAGUAGAAUAUAAUGACAUUCACUGAAAGAGACCGGUAAACACAUUUGCCACCAGAAUGAAAGGGGAUAAAGAUGCCAACACUCAGAAUUGAACAUGACUUCGGCUCAUUCCUACCUUAAAAAAGGAAGACAGUAGGUGUGCACCCGGAAUUUUAAGAGCUCAUACUGUACUUCAUUGAACAAUUUCCUAGUAUAGUAUUGAUUAUAGAAUAGUUUUUGUUUUUCUAAUGUUCAUUUAUUGUUAUAUUUUAUAGAUUAUAGAUCCUAUUUUCUUUGAGUUUUACCCACACCAACCAAUUGCUUCCUUUGCCAAAGUAAUGCUACAGGAAACAGUUAUAAUGACACAAAUAUGG